UACGGAAGGUCCGGGCGUUAUCCGGAUUUAUUGGGUUUAAAGGGAGCGUAGGCCGCGCCUUAAGCGUGUUGUGAAAUUCGGGUGCUCAACAUCCGGCUUGCAGCGCGAACUGGGGCGCUUGAGUGCGCAGAAAGUAGGCGGAAUUCGUGGUGUAGCGGUGAAAUGCUUAGAUAUCACGAGGAACUCCGAUUGCGAAGGCAGCCUACUGUAGCGCUACUGACGCUGAUGCUCGAAAGCGUGGGUAUCGAACAGG
This 253-nucleotide ribosomal RNA is filed under the name uncultured prokaryote. RNAcentral describes it as "partial 16S ribosomal RNA". It matches the Rfam family "Bacterial small subunit ribosomal RNA", at positions 524 to 776 of the family's 1533-position model. The record is from RNAcentral.